This 515-nucleotide ribosomal RNA is filed under the name uncultured bacterium. RNAcentral describes it as "partial 16S ribosomal RNA". It matches the Rfam family "Bacterial small subunit ribosomal RNA", at positions 28 to 523 of the family's 1533-position model. The record is from RNAcentral.
GAUGAACGCUGGCGGCGUGCCUAAUACAUGCAAGUCGAGCGAAUGGAUUAAGAGCUUGCUCUUAUGAAGUUAGCGGCGGACGGGUGAGCAACACGUGGGUAACCUGCCCAUAAGACUGGGAUAACUCCGGGAAACCGGGGCUAAUACCGGAUAACAUUUUGAACCGCAUGGUUCGAAAUUGAAAGGCGGCUUCGGCUGUCCCUUAUGGAUGGACCCGCGUCGCAUUAGCUAGUUGGUGAGGUAACGGCUCACCAAGGCAACGAUGCGUAGCCGACCUGAGAGGGUGAUCGGCCACACUGGGACUGAGACACGGCCCAGACUCCUACGGGAGGCAGCAGUAGGGAAUCUUCCGCAAUGGACGAAAGUCUGACGGAGCAACGCCGCGUGAGUGAGGAAGGCUUUCGGGUCGUAAAACUCUGUUGUUAGGGAAGAACAAGUGCUAGUUGAAUAAGCUGGCACCUUGACGGUACCUAACCAGAAAGCCACGGCUAACUACGUGCCAGCCGCCGCAGUAA